RNAcentral lists this ribosomal RNA (409 nucleotides) under uncultured bacterium. RNAcentral's name for it is "bacterial SSU rRNA". It matches the Rfam family "Bacterial small subunit ribosomal RNA", at positions 509 to 916 of the family's 1533-position model. The record is from RNAcentral.
CAGCAGCCGCGGUAAUUCAGAGACUGCAAGCGUUAUUCGGAUUCACUGGGCGUAAAGGGUGCGCAGGCGGUUGGGUGUGUCAGAUGUGAAAUCCCGAGGCUCAACCUCGGAACUGCGUCUGAAACUACUCGACUAGAGUACUGGAGAGGGUAACGGAAUUCACGGUGUAGCAGUGAAAUGCGUAGAUAUCGUGAGGAACGCCAGAGGCGAAGGCGGUUACCUGGACAGUUACUGACGCUCAGGCACGAAAGCAUGGGGAGCAAAAGGGAUUAGAUACCCUGGUAGUCCACGCCCUAAACGAUGCGAACUGGAUGUUGGUCUCAACUCGGAGAUCAGUGUCGAAGCUAACGCGUUAAGUUCGCCGCCUGGGGAGUACGGUCGCAAGACUGAAACUCAAAUGAAUUGACGG